UGGGGAAUAUUGCACAAUGGGGGAACCGUAGCUGCAGCAACGCCGCGUGAAGGAAGACGGUUUUCGGAUUGUAAACUUCUUUUCUUAGUGAAGAAACAAAUGACGGUAGCUAAGGAAUAAGCAUCGGCUAACUACGUGCCAGCAGCCGCGGUAAUACGUAGGAUGCGAGCGUUAUCCGGAUUUACUGGGUGUAAAGGGAGCGCAGGCGGGACUGCAAGUUGGAUGUGAAAUACCGCAGCUUAACUGCGGAGCUGCAUCCAAAAACUGUAGUUCUUGAGUGGAGUAGAGGCAAGCGGAAUUCCGAGUGUAGCGGUGAAAUGCGUAGAUAUUCGGAGGAACACCAGUGGCGAAGGCGGCUUGCUGGGCUCUAACUGACGCUGAGGCUCGAAAGUGUGGGGAGCAAACAGGAUUAGAUACC
RNAcentral lists this ribosomal RNA (418 nucleotides) under uncultured bacterium. RNAcentral describes it as "bacterial SSU rRNA". It matches the Rfam family "Bacterial small subunit ribosomal RNA", at positions 355 to 786 of the family's 1533-position model. The record is from RNAcentral.